Molecule: unclassified non-coding RNA, 385 nt
Filed under: uncultured bacterium
Lineage: Bacteria
Description: contains 16S-23S intergenic spacer region
Source: RNAcentral
UCCGAGUUGACCCCGGCAGUCUCCCAUGAGUCCCCACCAUCCCGAAGGACGUGCUGGCAACAUGGAACGGGGGUUGCGCUCGUUGCGGGACUUAACCCAACAUCUCACGACACGAGCUGACGACAGCCAUGCACCACCUGUGCACUGGCCCCGAAGGGCUACCGUAUUUCUACGGCAUUCCAGUGCAUGUCAAGCCCAGGUAAGGUUCUUCGCGUUGCGUCGAAUUGAACCACAUACUCCACCGCUUGUGCGGGCCCCCGCCAAUUCCUUUGAGUUUUAACCUUGCGGCCGUAGUCCCCAGGCGGAGCACUUAAUGCGUUAGCGUCGGCACCGCAGGGGUCAAUACCCGCGACACCUAGUGCUCAUCGUUUACGGCGUGGACUAC